UAAAUUUGGGUUUUUAAUAACUAUAUUUUUAAUUUAAAAAGUUAUUUUUUGUUUUUUAAAUUUUUAUAUAAUGUUUUAAAAUUUAAACUGUAUAGGUUUAUAUUUUAUUAAAAAAAAGAAAAUUUUUAUAUUGUACCUUUUGUGUCAGGGUUAAUUUAUUUUUUUAAAAAAUUUUUAUUUUCUCGAAAAAUUAAGAUUUUAGUUAUAUUUUGGUUUUAAUUGUUUCAAAAAUUUUGUUUAAAUUAAUUAAGUUUCGAUAUGAAAAUCGUUUAUUUUGAUAUCUAGUUGUUUUUGAAAUAAAUUUAAUUUAAAUAAUUUAAUUGGUUACUUUUAUUUUUUAGAAUAACUUUUUUUUAUUAAUUUAAAUUGGGUUAAUCUAAUUUAAUUUUUAUAAUUUUUACCAGGUUUAAAUGAAAAUGGUAGGAUUAAAAUUCUUUUUCUUAUAAAGUUUGUUUUAAAUUAUUUUUUUUUAAAAAAAUUUUAAUUUAAUUAUGUAAAAAACUUUCUUUAAAAACAAAUUUUAAAAUUAAUAAUGAUUAAAUUAGUCAAUUAAAAAAUUUAUAUUUAUGAAUUCGGCAAAAUUAAAUUUUUUGUCUGUUUAUCAAAAACAUUUCUUUUAGUUUAAAUCUUAAAGGUUGGGCCUGCUCAAUGAAUAUUAAAUAGCUGCAGUAUUUUAACUGUACUAAGGUAGCAUAAUAAUUAGUCUUUUAAUUGAGGUCUGGAAUGAAUGGUUUGACAAGAAAAUAACUUUAUUAAUUAAUCUUUUUUCAAUUUUAUUUUUUAGUUAAAAAGCUAAAAUUUUUAAAUGGGACGAUAAGACCCUAUAGAUCUUAAAAUUUUUUAUAUUUAAAAUAAUUUUAUGGGUUAAUUUAAAUUUUGUUUGGGAAAAUUUUUUGUUGGGGUGACAUAUAAAUUUUUAAAACUUUAAAAUUUUCUUACAUUUAUAGAUGUAUAAAUGAUCCAAACUUUUUGAUUAUUAAAAUAAGAUACCUUAGGGAUAACAGCGUAAUAAAUUUGUAUAGUACACAUAAAUAAGUUUGUUUACGACCUCGAUGUUGAAUUAAUAUUAAUUUUUGGAGCAGAAGCUAUAAUUUUGGGUCUGUUCGACCUUUAUAAUAUUACAUGAUUUGAGUUCAAACCGGUGUAAGCCAGGUUGGUUUCUAUCUUUUUAUAGUUUAUAUUUGAUUAGUACGAAAGGACUUUUAAGUUAAGAAGAUAUUCUU
This 1223-nucleotide ribosomal RNA is filed under the name Sogata hakonensis. RNAcentral describes it as "16S ribosomal RNA". The stretch from base 997 to 1155 matches the Rfam family "Archaeal large subunit ribosomal RNA", at positions 2544 to 2703 of the family's 2987-position model. The record is from RNAcentral. Lineage: Eukaryota; Metazoa; Arthropoda; Insecta; Hemiptera; Delphacidae.